RNAcentral lists this ribosomal RNA (845 nucleotides) under uncultured marine group I thaumarchaeote. RNAcentral describes it as "SSU rRNA". It matches the Rfam family "Archaeal small subunit ribosomal RNA", at positions 23 to 873 of the family's 1478-position model. Lineage: Archaea; Thermoproteati; Nitrososphaerota. The record is from RNAcentral.
CUGACUGCUAUCGGAUUGAUACUAAGCCAUGCGAGUCUUUGUAGUAAUACAAGGCAGACGGCUCAGUAACACGUAGUCAACCUACCCUAUGGACAAGAAUAAUCUCGGGAAACUGGGCAUAAUUCUUGAUAGAUCAUAAUGCCUGGAAUGGUUUAUGGUUAAAAUGAUUCGUCGCCAUAGGAUGGGACUGCGGCCUAUCAGCUUGUUGGUGAGGUAAUGGCCCACCAAGGCGAUUACAGGUACGGGCUCUGAGAGGAGAAGCCCGGAGAUGGGUACUGAGACACGGACCCAGGCCCUAUGGGGCGCAGCAGGCGAGAAAACUUUGCAAUGUGCGAAAGCACGACAAGGUUAAUCCGAGUGAUUUCUGCUAAAGAAAUCUUUUGCCAGUCAUAAAACCACUGGUGAAUAAGGGGUGGGCAAGUUCUGGUGUCAGCCGCCGCGGUAAAACCAGCACCUCAAGUGGUCAGGAUGAUUAUUGGGCCUAAAGCAUCCGUAGCCGGCUUUGUUAGUUUUCGGUUAAAUCCAUGUGCUCAACGCAUGGGCUGCCGAAAAUACUGCAUAGCUAGGGAGUGGGAGAGGUAGACGGUACUCAGUAGGAAGGGGUAAAAUCCUUUGAUCUAUUGAUGACCACCUGUGGCGAAGGCGGUCUACCAGAACACGUUCGACGGUGAGGGAUGAAAGCUGGGGGAGCAAACCGGAUUAGAUACCCGGGUAGUCCCAGCUGUAAACGAUGCAGACUCGAUGAUGCAUUGGCAUAAUAGCCAGUGCAGUGUCGCAGGGAAGCCGUUAAGUCUGCCGCCUGGGAAGUACGUACGCAAGUAUGAAACUUAAAGGAAUUGGCGGGG